Non-coding RNA from Bacteroides sp. CAG:98, 368 nucleotides. NCBI's taxonomy places the organism in Bacteria, Pseudomonadati, Bacteroidota, Bacteroidia, Bacteroidales, Bacteroidaceae. The record is from Rfam.
GCAGUCGGUCGGUCUGUCGCUGAUGCCGCAAGGCAGAAGAGGAAAGUCCGGGCAACACAGAGCAUCCUACUUCCUAACAGAAAGCUAUCUGCGAAGGUAGAGUAAUGCAGAAGAAAAAAACCGCCUUGUUCUUUCGGGAAUAAGGUAAGGGUGAGAAGGCGGGGUAAGAGCCCACCAGCCGCAUGGUGACAUGUCGGGCUGUGUAUCUUAGGAGUUGUAAGGUCAUGUAAACCGGCAUUAUGAGGGUUGCUCGCCCCACGUCGGAGGGUAGACCGCUAGAGCCUGUUGGUGACAACAGGCGUAGAUAAAUGACAGACGCCUUACCGCUAGAUAAGGAACAGAACCCGGCUUACAGACCGACUGCUUUU